This 414-nucleotide ribosomal RNA is filed under the name uncultured bacterium. RNAcentral describes it as "bacterial SSU rRNA". It matches the Rfam family "Bacterial small subunit ribosomal RNA", at positions 355 to 766 of the family's 1533-position model. The record is from RNAcentral.
UAAGGAAUAUUGGUCAAUGGACGCAAGUCUGAACCAGCCAUGCCGCGUGGAGGAUUAAGGCCCUCUGGGUUGUAAACUCCUUUUAUCUGGGAAGAAAUGUACUUUUUCUUGAGUACUUGACGGUACCAGAGGAAUAAGCACCGACUAACUCCGUGCCAGCAGCCGCGGUAAUACGGAGGGUGCAAGCGUUAUCCGGAUUCACUGGGUUUAAAGGGUGCGUAGGUGGGCAGGUAAGUCAGUGGUGAAAUCUCCGGGCUUAACCCGGAAACUGCCGUUGAUACUAUUUGUCUUGAAUAUUGUGGAGGUAAGCGGAAUAUGUCAUGUAGCGGUGAAAUGCUUAGAUAUGACAUAGAACACCAAUUGCGAAGGCAGCUUACUACACAAUCAUUGACGCUGAGGCACGAAAGCGUGGGG